UACGUAGGGGGCGAGCGUUGUUCGGAUUUACUGGGCGUAAAGGGCGCGCAGGCGGUUCUGUUUGUCGGGUGUGAAAGCCCCGGGCUCAACCCGGGAACUGCAGUUGAAACCGCUUGUCUUGAAUACCUGAGAGGGUGGGGGAAUACCUGGUGGAGAAGUGAAAUUCGUAGAGAUCAGGUGGAACACCGGAGGCGAAGGCGCCUGCCUGGCAGUGUAUUGACGCUGAGGUGCGAAAGUGCGGGGAGCAAACAGG
This 253-nucleotide ribosomal RNA is filed under the name uncultured bacterium. Its description in RNAcentral is "partial 16S ribosomal RNA". It matches the Rfam family "Bacterial small subunit ribosomal RNA", at positions 524 to 776 of the family's 1533-position model. The record is from RNAcentral.